GACGAACGCUGGCGGCGUGCUUAACACAUGCAAGUCGAACGGAAAGGCCCUGCUUUUGUGGGGUGCUCGAGUGGCGAACGGGUGAGUAACACGUGAGUAACCUGCCCUUGACUUUGGGAUAACUUCAGGAAACUGGGGCUAAUACCGGAUAGGAGCUCCUGCUGCAUGGUGGGGGUUGGAAAGUUUCGGCGGUUGGGGAUGGACUCGCGGCUUAUCAGCUUGUUGGUGGGGUAGUGGCUUACCAAGGCUUUGACGGGUAGCCGGCCUGAGAGGGGGACCGGCCCCCAUGGGGCUGAGGAAAGGCCCCACACCCUACGGGGGGGAGCAGGGGGGGAAAUUUUCCAAAGGGGGGCAGACGCAUGACGGCACCCCGCGGGGGGGAGGUAGGCCCUCCGGGUGUAAACCACUUUUGCCCGGGGAGAAGAGGGAAUGACGGUAAUUGGUGAAGAAGCACCGGCUAACUCCGUG
This 468-nucleotide ribosomal RNA is filed under the name uncultured bacterium. Its description in RNAcentral is "partial 16S ribosomal RNA". It matches the Rfam family "Bacterial small subunit ribosomal RNA", at positions 28 to 507 of the family's 1533-position model. The record is from RNAcentral.